GAUGAACGCUGGCGGCGUGCCUAAUACAUGCAAGUCGAACGCAUUGUGGUUGAAAUGAUAUGAAGAACUUGUUCAGAUUUGAUUUUCAACAUUGCAAUGAGUGGCGAACGGGUGAGUAACACGUGGGAAACCUACCUCUUAGCAGGGGAUAACAUUUGGAAACAAAUGCUAAUACCGUAUAAUAAUUAAAACCGCAUGGUUUUAGUUUAAAAGAUGGUCUUGCUAUCACUAAGAGAUGGUCCCGCGGUGUAUUAGUUAGUUGGUGAGGUAAUGGCUCACCAAGACAAUGAUACAUAGCCGAGUUGAGAGACUGACCGGCCACAAUGGGACUGAGACACGGCCCAUACUCCUACGGGAGGCAGCAGUAGGAAUCUUCCCACAAUGGACGAAAGUCUGAUGGAGCAACGCCGCGUGUGUGAUGAAGGUUUCGGCUCGUAAACACUGUUGUAAGAGAAGAAUGACAUUGAGAGUAACUGUUCAAUGUGUGACGGUAU
Molecule: ribosomal RNA, 494 nt
Filed under: uncultured bacterium
Lineage: Bacteria
Description: bacterial SSU rRNA
Rfam family: Bacterial small subunit ribosomal RNA
Source: RNAcentral